This 943-nucleotide long non-coding RNA is filed under the name Nicotiana tabacum (common tobacco). Its description in RNAcentral is "long non-coding RNA (NTAB_LNC007798)". The record is from RNAcentral. Lineage: Eukaryota; Viridiplantae; Streptophyta; Magnoliopsida; Solanales; Solanaceae.
GAGGGGAAGGUCUAUAAAUUACGCCCCUUCGAAUAGCAAUUAUAUGCUCACAAAAAAACUUUCAUAAAUCAUAAAGAGUUAUUCUUAGCAUGGCGUUGCUUAGGUUUGCUUUCGUUUUAACCGUUCUUCUUAUGACAACCACUAGUUAGUUUCUAUCUCUCUUAUCUCUAUAUAUAUAGCGAUUUUACUUAUUACGCUUUGUUACUCUAUAUAUAUGGUUACAUAAGUGAUUGUGUACGUACAUAUGCGUAUAAGCAGAGUCAGAGCUAAUUAAAUCCAAUGAAAGGUAGUUAGUUGAACAUAUUUUACAAGAAAAUUAUAGUGUAUAUAUGACAAAUAUUACUUUUUAAAACAUAUAUAUAUAUAUUAAAUCCUGAAAAUUCUUAACGAAAUUCUUGACUUCGCUACUAUAUACAUGGUCUUCAAAGUGUUUCUAUACAUAUUAUUUGGAUGUGUGUUUUUCAUUCAUGUAAUACUUCUCAUCAUUUGAUUCUGAUCAGUUUUUAUUAUGAUAAAUUUCAGUCAAUAUGUCGUGGUUCUCAGAGACACAAGUACUGGCUUCACGGGAUAUUGAUAGCAAUCUCUUGGGACUUGAGAAGAGGCUAUUCUCAUCACUUAAUCUUAUGACUUGUGGGAGAGAUUGUGUUUACAAUGAUUGUAAAGAUGAUUGUUGGAUUUGCUGUAGAUGUGUUAGAUCUGGUUGUGUGUUAUAAUGCAAAUUGUUGGUAGAUUGGCGCAUUAGCGUCCAAUUACAACCAACCCUAAAACCUCAUAUUAUGUAUUUACCUUUUCAUAUUAUGUAUUUACCUUUUCUAGUGUGAGUUGUGUGUUUUCCUCAUCUUUUCUUGCUUUGUACGAAUAUAAUAAUAAAACUUUCUAGUUUUAUUUGUACUCAAAGUUGAACAGUGUUGGUUGAAGAAUGAACUAGAGGUUUGGUGGCAAU